This 253-nucleotide ribosomal RNA is filed under the name uncultured bacterium. Its description in RNAcentral is "partial 16S ribosomal RNA". It matches the Rfam family "Bacterial small subunit ribosomal RNA", at positions 524 to 776 of the family's 1533-position model. The record is from RNAcentral.
UACGUAGGUGGCAAGCGUUGUCCGGAAUUAUUGGGCGUAAAGCGCGCGCAGGCGGUUUCUUAAGUCUGAUGUGAAAGCCCACGGCUCAACCGUGGAGGGUCAUUGGAAACUGGGGGACUUGAGUACAGAAGAGGAAAGCGGAAUUCCACGUGUAGCGGUGAAAUGCGUAGAGAUGUGGAGGAACACCAGUGGCGAAGGCGGCUCACUGGCCCGGUACUGACGCUGAGGUGCGAAAGCGUGGGGAGCAAACAGG